RNAcentral lists this transfer RNA (88 nucleotides) under Halieaceae bacterium. RNAcentral describes it as "tRNA-Ser". It matches the Rfam family "tRNA". Rfam says of the family: Transfer RNA (tRNA) molecules are approximately 80 nucleotides in length. Their secondary structure includes four short double-helical elements and three loops (D, anti-codon, and T loops). The record is from RNAcentral. Lineage: Bacteria; Pseudomonadati; Pseudomonadota; Gammaproteobacteria; Cellvibrionales; Halieaceae. RNAcentral also lists the same sequence under 1 other name.
GGUGGGCUGGCUGAGCGGUCGAAAGCGGCGGUCUUGAAAACCGUUGAGGAGUGAUCCUCCGUAGGUUCGAAUCCUACGCCCACCGCCA